UAAGGAAUAUUGGUCAAUGGACGCAAGUCUGAGCCAGCCAUGCCGCGUGAAGGAUGAAGGUCCUCUGGAUUGUAAACUUCUUUUAUCUGGGACGAAAACGGGAUUUUUAUCUCAAUUGACGGUACCAGAGGAAUAAGCACCGGCUAACUCCGUGCCAGCAGCCGCGGUAAUACGGAGGGUGCGAGCGUUAUCCGGAUUUACUGGGUUUAAAGGGUGCGUAGGUGGGCUUAUAAGUCAGUGGUGAAAUCUCCGAGCUUAACUUGGAAACUGCCGUUGAUACUAUAGGUCUUGAAUUAUCUGGAGGUAAGCGGAAUAUGUCAUGUAGCGGUGAAAUGCUUAGAUAUGACAUAGAACACCAAUUGCGAAGGCAGCUUACUACAUAUAAAUUGACGCUGAGGCACGAAAGCGUGGGGAUCAAAC
This 420-nucleotide ribosomal RNA is filed under the name uncultured bacterium. Its description in RNAcentral is "bacterial SSU rRNA". It matches the Rfam family "Bacterial small subunit ribosomal RNA", at positions 355 to 773 of the family's 1533-position model. The record is from RNAcentral.